Haplochromis burtoni (Burton's mouthbrooder) is the source of this 1351-nucleotide long non-coding RNA. RefSeq lists it as uncharacterized. The record is from RefSeq and is a predicted model, not a curated record. The transcript has 3 exons. Lineage: Eukaryota; Metazoa; Chordata; Actinopteri; Cichliformes; Cichlidae.
UGAACCUGGAGCUGUGUGAAUACCUGGUCUACGCUGUGCUAUUUGGCCUUUUUAACUUUUCUAUGAUAGCUUGGUGUGGAUUGCAUAGCCUUCUGUUGGAGCGACAGUGAAGGUGCUGCGUGGAAGAUGUAAACCUCUGAUCACAACUGUAAAUAACCCAAAUAUGUUAGAAAUGAAUACGAGAGAAAAGGACAGACACCCAGACGUUCACGUGCCUGAAGUGCCCAGGAGACAUCCUGAUCAGAUGCCUGAAGCAGCUUAACUUGCACUCCUAAUUCCCCCUGGAAUGAUCAAGCUCUCCACCCCACUCCAACAGAGAAGUCAGACAUCUCCAGAGGAAGUCUACGGCUGCUGGCUGCAUCCACAAUUCCAUCCCUUUAGUGCCUACCCAAAAAUCAUUAUGUCAGGAGUCUUCCUCAUCUGUUGUCUGCAUCAAUAUACCACUAGACAAAUCCAUGCACCAAUCUCUUGCUCUUCUAUCCAAAUUUUAGUUUUAGGCUACUAGAUAGCCCUGCGACAGACUGGUGAUCUGUCCAGGAUGUACUUCUUGCUCCAUUGCACCUGGGAUGGGCUCCAGCUGCAUCCCAUGACCCUGAAAUGAAUAAGUGGAAGAGAAUGGAUGAAUACGACAUUUCUCUAAGCUAAACUAAAGCGUUUUAAUGCAGCUCUCUAAAUUCUUUGAGUAGUGAAAAAAUUCUUUCACACUGUCAAGUCUUUUUUUUUUUUUUAUCAGCUGUAGGCCUUUCUUUUACUUUUUGAACUUCUGGUUUCGCAUUACGAUAGAUGCUCCUCGGGACAGUAUGGUGUAUUCUUCCUUUGUUGUACAUGCUGCCUCACUGUUGUACUGUCAUCAGCAAUAAAACUAAACUACAAACUAUAUCACAGGAAAAACAAUUAACUAAACAAAAGUAUCCAUCAAAUAGGACACUCUAGACUAAAGUAAAAGACAAUGAGGAUAUAAUGCUUUGAUUCUUCAAGCAGAAAUCAGCCUGCAGUGAAUAUGGCUGCUAAAUGGUUUCAAGAAAUAUUUACAAAGCUUCUUUUCAUCACCCAGUUUGGUGAUUUUGACAUUAGCGAUUAUGGGUACAAUAACUAAUCCCUCAUUAAUGUUGUCCUCACUGCUCUGUGUCACAAGGAUAGGAAAUCAAUGAACCUUCGCCUGAAGCAAAAACUGAGAGCUGUCCAUCUCCCACCUUUAAAUGGCACCUCCUCUCCAAACUGAAAGAUCGUUAUAGAAGUAAGAAAUUCUGGAUCUACUGGCAGUAACUUAGUCUCUAAAGGGCAACAUAAUCAUGUUUACCAGGCAGGUCCAUCUACAAGAGAACUCCUAGCGGAGGGGAUUAGGAUGACA